AGCUAUUUACUAAUAUAUGUCUUGAAAACAUAUUAUAGGAAAUAUAACUCCUAAUAGCUU
RNAcentral lists this transfer RNA (60 nucleotides) under Sphaerotheriidae sp. HYS-2012. Its description in RNAcentral is "tRNA-Ser". The record is from RNAcentral. Lineage: Eukaryota; Metazoa; Arthropoda; Diplopoda; Sphaerotheriida; Sphaerotheriidae.